AAACAUGGCUCCUUGUAAAAUAAAGAUAGGGAGUCGGACCUGCCCAGUGAAAUUUUUUAACGGCCGCGGUACUCUGACCGUGCAAAGGUAGCAUAAUCAUUUGCCUUAUAAUUGAAGGCUUGUAUGAAUGGUUUGACAAGAAUGAAGCUGUCUCUUUAUAAUUAAUCUGAAUUUUAUAUAUAGGUGAAGAAGCCUAUAUUUUAUUGAAAGACAAGAAGACCCUAUCGAGCUUUAAAAAAGUUAAUAAGCCUAAAAAUCAAUAUUAAAAUAUAGAUUUUGUUAUUAAAUCAUUUUAGUUGGGGCGACUGAGGAACAAGCAAAGCUUCCUAUAUAAAUAAUAAAACAUUCAAGUAUUGACCCAGAAAUACUGAUUAAAGAAAUUAGUUACCGUAGGGAUAACAGCAUUAUCUUUUUUGAGAGCUCUAAUCGAAAAAAAGGUUUGUGACCUCGAUGUUGGACCAGAAUAUCCUAAAGAUGCAGCCGUCUUUAAGGGUUGGUCUGUUCGACCAUUAAAAUUCUACGUGAUCUGGU
RNAcentral lists this ribosomal RNA (531 nucleotides) under Littorina scutulata. RNAcentral's name for it is "partial 16S ribosomal RNA". It matches the Rfam family "Bacterial large subunit ribosomal RNA", at positions 1811 to 2609 of the family's 2925-position model. The record is from RNAcentral. Lineage: Eukaryota; Metazoa; Mollusca; Gastropoda; Littorinimorpha; Littorinidae.